GUUCCUUUCAUGUCCAUACAUGAAGUAAAGAUGAUCAGUGAACUUCGGCUUCAGUUCGGAUAAUUCAAAAUGCAAUGCAUUGGGUCAAAGUUUUGAAUAAACGACUUACUUCAACAUGACACAGGGAAACAACAUUCUCAUUCUCGAUCUUAUCUCUGUUGGAGCUUUUAAGUUUGGAUCGAUUACACCGUCAGUUGAAGUAGAAAUUGACCAUUUUUAAUUGGGACCGAUUGGAACAGCAUAUUUGCCGCUUCCGUCGAAAUGUAAACACAGUACACGACCAGAAUUAAAUGUUGUUUUGUAAUGUAUUGACCAUAUAUACGCAAGCCCUGUUGACCUUGAUGACAUUUGGCUCCUAAUUAUUUCCUACGAGGCAACAAGGAUACAUACUAUUGGAAGCUUGUCAAAGAUCGCAGUUAUCAGCCAAGUUCAAUAAGUCGAAUGGCGAAGUUAUUGAAAGACCGGAGUGCCAAGCCUUCAAGAAAAAGGAGGAGAAAGGAUUGGGAUUAUUCAAAUACCACAAUAACGCGCAAACAUUUAACGAUGCCUAAACCAAGAAGGAUAAGUUUGGUAACCAUUGCGGAUAUUGUUGUCAAACAUGAUCACGUGUAUGCUCAACGUUCAUGGACAUUCCCUAUCAAAAAAGUACAUGAUGGUGAUCACAAAUAUUCUCUUCUUUCAUGGGAUUACCGCAACAAUAAAACACAGCCAGGCCAUUGUACUAAAACGUUGAUCGUACAACGCAAACAGUGACCGGCGAGGAACGGACACAUGCCCUAGAAAUCCCCGAUUAUCUAAGAGAUGAUGAUACUGAAGGUUUGGAAGAAGACAGUGAGGUCUUAAAAGACACGAUCCAGAGACAAGACUCUUGUUCCCUCAAUAUUUCCUCAAAGGUUCAUAUUACAAUGGAAUCUGUUAUUGAUGGUUAUGAAUACCACAAUCCGAGUUGUUCCAAUGAUCUAUUUGAUUCUGAUAUUAAAGGGAAGCCUUUGUUAGGUGAUUUUGAAGCCCAUACUCGAACACAUGGUCCGAAUUAUUCCAAUUCCACCACAGACGUUUAUAUAAAGUCAGAGCCAAUUGCAAUUCACGAGAAAAAAUUAAUAGAUAAUCAUAAAGUGCCUUACAUUUACGUGGAGCCUACCUCUUUGGACUUGAAAGAUCUAAUUGCAAUCAAUGGCACGAACGUAAUAGACAAUCCUCAAGUGCGUAGCAUUAUAGUAAAGGAUUUUGAAAAUCACACUGAUUUCUCCCGGAAUUCCACUGAGUUUGCCAUAAAAGUCAAACAUGUUUUUGAAGAAUUUAACGACCACACUAUUACACAGGCAACGGGUGCUCCAAAUAAUACUGCAGAAAGUAAAGCUAAACAAUUGGGAUUAUAUAACGGAAAUCGAAACAGUCGUAUUGUAGAAAUAAAUGAAGAUUUAGGAUAUCAUAUUGAUGUAAACUAAAUGGAUACCCCUUAUAAUUGCACAGAGAAUGACAUUGCAAGUCAGAAUAUUAUGAAAAUGAAAAGUCGCAGCGUAACUUUAUUUGCUUUUUGUGGAAAUUAAUGUUAACACUAUUAAGGCAUUCUUAGUUCACAUUGAAAAGCGCAAGCUAACUUUUUCAGUUGUAUGUCGAAGGCAAUGCUGCAUUUAUUAAACUAUACAUUGAUGUGCACAUUGACUUCAUUUGCGAUCUGUUUGUGCAGAAAUCUGCUCCUCAAAAUCGCAGAGUUUGGGCAUGUUUGCCUUGCCUGUUUGACAGUUGUUUUAUCAGUUUUGCUAGCGAAUUUCUCUUAAUUACGUUUACCGGGGACAUAUUCUAUCUUUUUCAGUCUUCUAAGCACUUACUUGCAUUUCCAAAGGGUUAUUAAUUUAUAACACACCGUGCGGAAAAGCGUUUCAGUAAAACAAUUAGAAGAACAAGCUGCUCAAACCAGUAAAACAAGAGGCUGAUCGGUGUAUCAAAUGCAAAGUUUACAUGAAUGCUUUGAAGACAGAAAACAGGUGAUAAGAUGAAACGAACCAAGUCGAUGGAACUUAUCGUUAAUGCUAAGUAUGAUAUACUUAUUACGAACUAAAACAUAACGACAAUUUGCAAGAACAGAUACAUAUGAUAAAUUGUCGUAAAAGAUGAGCAGACAUAACUUGGAAUGGGGAUACAAAAAACACGACACAAAGACAGCUACUAAAAUUAUGUUUGUGUUUAUUAAUAUAUGGCAGCAACCUUUUAUAGUAACCAAACACAUGAUUUUACUUGGGGCUAAUCCGGUCAAAGUCAUUGUUUAGAAAAAAAAUCGUUAUCGACCAAAUAUGGUUUGGAUGGACUAAUUUCACUGAAAUUGUGUGUAGGUUGCUUUCCGACAUUGCUUUGAAUUACAUUUUGGUGUAAUAGGGCCUAGGUCAAUAACUAGGUUAUUACAAUUAGAAAAACGUCAAAUAGAAGGUUUUGAUCAAUAUUUUAAGUUUGCAAUGACCAAUCCGGAUGAAACGUUGGAUGUAGCAAGAUUUCAUGGAGAGCAAGCCUGGGAUGUGUUUGGGUUAUUUUCAAUGUUACUGUUAUUCAAAAAAGAAAAUAUUUGUGUGAAUAAUAACUUUAGUUUUGAUACAGGUAUUUACACUGGAACUUUAUAUUUAUGUGUCUUACAUGCAUAUUUAGCAUGGGAAUGCAUAAUGGACCAGUAGAGUUAAAGGGAUCUUUUCACGCUUUGGUAAAUUGACAAAAUGUUUCAGAUUCGUAAGUUUUCGUUUUAGUUAUGAUAUUUGUGAGGAAACAGUAAUACUGAACAUUAACCAUGCUCUAAUAUAGCCAUUAUAUGCAUAUUUUGACGAUUUUAAAACUUAAAAAUUAUAAAGCGUUGCAACGCGAAACGAUUGAAUAAUUUGGAGAGUUCUGUUUUUGUCGUUAAAUUUUGUGAAACUACGAAGAUUGCUUAUAUAAGGUAUAAAAUACGUCAAGAAUGGGUACUCGGCGGAAUAGCUCAGUAGGCUAAAGCGUUUUUACUUCAGGACUCUGGCAGGACUCCAGGGGUCACUGGUUCGAAACCUGCUCCGGGUAAUGUUCUUUUCCUUUUUUUAAUUUUUUUCUUGAUUUUUUACUGGAGCUUUUACGAUCCAAUGUUUACAUUUAUCAAUAUAAAGCGUUUAAUAAAUAAGUUUAAAACAUGCCAAAAUCUGUGAAAAGGCCCCUUUAAGACUACUAGUUCUAGAAAUAAAAACUAAACGGCUUGCGCUUAAUAACUCGUUUUGGUGAUAUACUUUGAAAAUAAUGUAGGUAGGUUCUUACGUGCAGAUCUAGCUGGGUAUUGCAUAUUUGUGUUUUAAUAAAAGUAAAUUAAUUAGUAAACCGUUGAAAACCUGGUUUAGUGGCGUUGUUGUUGUUGGUUUUGUGUAAAUCUAGUUUGCUGAAUAUUAAAUAAUGUGUUUAGUGUUUUCAAAAUACUUGUUUAUAAUUAUUUUAAAUUCAACUGUAUUACGAAUACAUGUAAUUGUUGUUAAUGUUCUUCAACAUAAAACAGGUAUGGCAAAAUAA
Dreissena polymorpha is the source of this 3513-nucleotide RNA transcript. RefSeq lists it as uncharacterized. Lineage: Eukaryota; Metazoa; Mollusca; Bivalvia; Myida; Dreissenidae. The transcript has 5 exons. The record is from RefSeq and is a predicted model, not a curated record.